CUACUGUCUGUCCUUUGAAGAAGGCAUUUGAGUUCUCUGAACAGGGACGUCUCUCAGUGUGCCUGGCACUUGCGGGGACUAUGUCCCCAGAAAUCCACUUUGCUGCUGAUCUCCCAUGAUGGGCAGAGAAGAGGAACCUGGCCCCUCCAGCAGGGACUGCUCUCCCAAGCCCUCUCUCAGGGAGAGGAGGGCUGAUGAUUCCAGCUCAGCCAAACCUCUCCUCUCCUGCCAUCUUUCUCCCAACCAACAAAAGGACACCUGUGACAUGGCUUGCCCUUGAAGGCUUCAGGUGUAGCUGGGAAGGGCCAGACAGCCCAGAGGAACGAGAGUCAAAAGGGACUCAGCCAGCAGUGUUGUGCUGGGCCACGCACCAAGAAGCAAUGUGAACAAUGAGGCCGGGAGAGCCCAUGAAGAGGGGAUUUGAAUGGGCUUUGUGAAAUGUGUUGGAGGAGGUCACGGAGGGCGUUCCCAGGCAAAGGGACCUUUGUGAGCAAAGGGCAUGGAGAGAAGAAUGCGUCAGAUGCAGCAGCAAGGGCAGGAAGAGGCCUGUCUGAUAAGAGAAGAGAUACGGAGAUAAGGCUCCCAGCGUGAAAGGAGCCCUUGAGCACCAGACAGAGAAGCUGGAGAGGGCAGGUCCAGGGAGAGGGCUGGAUUCCUAUCCCUUUCUCCUUUCAUCAUGCUAUUUGUCCUUGAUAUUGGUGGCAAUAGCAAUAAUAACCACCUUUACAGAGCUGCCAGGUGAUGGUCCCAUGCAUACAAAUAAGGUACACCCCACGUACGGUCUCUUAAAACUACUCGAGGGUCAGAAUGAGCACGUACACAGGAAUGGAAGGUCUCACCCUCAAGGCCAAAGGCCUG
RNAcentral lists this long non-coding RNA (858 nucleotides) under Homo sapiens (human). RNAcentral describes it as "HSALNT0029312". The record is from RNAcentral. Lineage: Eukaryota; Metazoa; Chordata; Mammalia; Primates; Hominidae.